GGACACAGAGACAUACAUAGAGGGAAGACGAUAUGAAGAGAUGGAGAAGAUGCCGCUCUACAAGGCAAGGAGGGAGGGCUGGAGCAGUCUCUCUCUCUCGCAGCCCUCAGAAGGAACUAACCCUGCUGACAUCUUGGUUUCAGACUCCUAGUCUCCAGAACUGAUAAGAAUAAAAUUUUUGACCUGGACUGUGUGUUGGUCAGGUUCCCGGUGGGAAAACAUGGUGCGCUCCACGUGAGCGAUUUGAGCCAAGGUGCAGAAGAGAAGGCAGGAGCUGAAGCAGCGAGCUUGGACCGUUGAGGCCAACUGGGUAACGCUCAGCAGAGAACCUGGUAGAAGGAGUCUGCCUCAAACACCCGUAGAGCAUCGUACCUGCCUUGAGCCACCUGCCUAAGAUUUGACCUGAGAGAGAAGUGACCCUCCACCUGCUGAAGCCACUGUCCGGGGCAUCUGCUCUCACUUGCAGCUGAACCUCACCCUCGUGACUACAUGAUGACGCUUCCACUUGAAAUAUACAUACUUUUUUUUUGGUGAGGAAGAUUGGCCCUGAGCUAACAUCUGUGCCAAUCUUCCUCUACUUCAUAUGUGGGAUGCCCCAACAGCAUGGCUGAUGAGUAGAGUCGGUCUAAACUCAGGAUUGGAAACUGUGAACCCAGGCCGCCAAAGCGGAGUGCACAGAACUUUAACCACUUGGCCACGGGGCCGGCCCGGCUGCUUUUUUUUAUUGCUAAGGACAGGGUGAUGCACUGGUUAUCAAAAUAAUUUGGUUAUAGGUAACAAAAACAGGGAAGUAUUCAGGUCUUAAUUUUCCUUCAGAAGACUCCCGUGUACACAUCAAAAUAUUAAAUAAACUUUUAUGCUUUUCUCCUGUUAA
This 874-nucleotide long non-coding RNA is filed under the name Equus caballus (horse). Its description in RNAcentral is "lncRNA (ENSECAG00000052534.1)". Lineage: Eukaryota; Metazoa; Chordata; Mammalia; Perissodactyla; Equidae. The record is from RNAcentral.